Molecule: ribosomal RNA, 106 nt
Filed under: Clostridium senegalense
Lineage: Bacteria; Bacillati; Bacillota; Clostridia; Eubacteriales; Clostridiaceae
Description: partial 16S ribosomal RNA
Rfam family: Bacterial small subunit ribosomal RNA
Source: RNAcentral
AACCGUAAGGAGCCAGCGGCCGAAGGUGGGAUUGGUGAUUGGGGUGAAGUCGUAACAAGGUAGCCGUAGGAGAACCUGCGGCUGGAUCACCUCCUUUCUAGGGAGU